This 74-nucleotide transfer RNA is filed under the name Cheilolejeunea imbricata. RNAcentral's name for it is "partial tRNA-Leu". It matches the Rfam family "tRNA", at positions 14 to 71 of the family's 71-position model. From Rfam's summary of the family: Transfer RNA (tRNA) molecules are approximately 80 nucleotides in length. Their secondary structure includes four short double-helical elements and three loops (D, anti-codon, and T loops). The record is from RNAcentral. Lineage: Eukaryota; Viridiplantae; Streptophyta; Jungermanniopsida; Porellales; Lejeuneaceae.
AAUCGGUAGACGCUACGGACUUAAAAUCCGUUGGCUUUUAAUAGACCUUGAGGGUUCAAGUCCCUCUACCCCCA